AGCGAACGCUGGCGGCAUGCCUAACACAUGCAAGUCGAACGAGACCUUCGGGUCUAGUGGCGCACGGGUGCGUAACGCGUGGGAACCUGCCCUUAGGUUCGGAAUAACUCCCCGAAAGGGGUGCUAAUACCGGAUAAUGUCUUCGGACCAAAGAUUUAUCGCCUUUGGAUGGGCCCGCGUUGGAUUAGCUAGUUGGUAGGGUAAAAGCCUACCAAGGCGACGAUCCAUAGCUGGUCUGAGAGGAUGAUCAGCCACACUGGGACUGAGACACGGCCCAGACUCCUACGGGAGGCAGCAGUAGGGAAUAUUGGACAAUGGGCGAAAGCCUGAUCCAGCAAUGCCGCGUGAGUGAUGAAGGCCUUAGGGUUGUAAAGCUCUUUUACCCGGGAUGAUAAUGACAGUACCGGGAGAAUAAGCGCCGGCUAACUCCGUG
This 433-nucleotide ribosomal RNA is filed under the name uncultured bacterium. RNAcentral describes it as "partial 16S ribosomal RNA". It matches the Rfam family "Bacterial small subunit ribosomal RNA", at positions 29 to 507 of the family's 1533-position model. The record is from RNAcentral.